AAUCAACGCUGGCGGCGUGCCUCAGACAUGCAAGUCGAACGCGAAACGUCCCCCUCGGGGGACAAGUAGAGUGGCGCACGGGUGAGUAACACGUAGGUAAUCUACCUUCGGGUGGGGAAGUAACAAUCGGAAACGGUUGCUAAUACCGCAUAAUGCAGCGGCACCUAAUGGUGACAGUUGUUAAAGCGGGGGAGUCGCAAGAUCUCGCGCCUGAAGAGGAGCCUGCGGCGGAUUAGCUAGUUGGUAGGGUAAUGGCCUACCAAGGCGACGAUCCGUAGCCGGCCUGAGAGGGCGGUCGGCCACACUGACACUGACAUACGGGUCAGACUCCUACGGGAGGCAGCAGUCGGGAAUUUU
Molecule: ribosomal RNA, 357 nt
Filed under: uncultured bacterium
Lineage: Bacteria
Description: bacterial SSU rRNA
Rfam family: Bacterial small subunit ribosomal RNA
Source: RNAcentral